UGCCCUACGGGGCGCAGCAGUGGGGAAUAUUGCACAAUGGGGGAAACCCUGAUGCAGCAACGCCGCGUGAGUGAGGAAGUAUUUCGGUAUGUAAAGCUCUAUCAGCAGGGAAUAGAAAAGAAGGUACCUGAAAAAGAAGCCCCGGCUAACUACGUGCCAGCAGCCGCGGUAAUACGUAGGGGGCAAGCGUUAUCCGGAUUUACUGGGUGUAAAGGGAGCGUAGACGGCAGUGCAAGUCUGGAGUGAAAGGCGGGGGCUCAACCCCCGGACUGCUCUGGAAACUGUACGGCUGGAGUGCAGGAGAG
This 305-nucleotide ribosomal RNA is filed under the name uncultured bacterium. RNAcentral's name for it is "bacterial SSU rRNA". It matches the Rfam family "Bacterial small subunit ribosomal RNA", at positions 335 to 656 of the family's 1533-position model. The record is from RNAcentral.